Long non-coding RNA from Sapajus apella (tufted capuchin), 124 nucleotides. RefSeq lists it as uncharacterized. Lineage: Eukaryota; Metazoa; Chordata; Mammalia; Primates; Cebidae. The transcript has 3 exons. The record is from RefSeq and is a predicted model, not a curated record.
CUGCUCCCGCAUUGCCUUCUGCCAUGAUUAUAAGCUUCCUGAGGCCUCCCCAGAAGCCAAGUUGAUGUCAUCAUCAUGCUUCCUGUACAGCCUGUAGAACUCUGAGCCAAUUAAACUUCUUUUC